This 49-nucleotide small RNA is filed under the name Sinorhizobium meliloti 2011. RNAcentral describes it as "putative ncRNA". Lineage: Bacteria; Pseudomonadati; Pseudomonadota; Alphaproteobacteria; Hyphomicrobiales; Rhizobiaceae. The record is from RNAcentral.
UUUCAGCCCGUGUCGAACGCCGCCCGGCCUCUCCGGGCGGCGCUUUGCU